Molecule: ribosomal RNA, 555 nt
Filed under: uncultured Bradyrhizobium sp.
Lineage: Bacteria; Pseudomonadati; Pseudomonadota; Alphaproteobacteria; Hyphomicrobiales; Nitrobacteraceae
Description: bacterial SSU rRNA
Rfam family: Bacterial small subunit ribosomal RNA
Source: RNAcentral
CCUACGGGAGGCAGCAGCGGGGAUAUUGGACNAUGGGGGCAACCNCGAUCCAGCCAUGCCGCGUGAGUGAUGAAGGCCCUAGGGUUGUAAAGCUCUUUUGUGCGGGAAGAUNAUGACGGUACCGCAAGAAUAAGCCCCGGCUAACUUCGUGCCAGCAGCCGCGGUUAUACGAAGGGGGCUAGCGUUGCUCGGAAUCACUGGGCGUAAAGGGUGCGUAGGCGGGUCUUUAAGUCAGGGGUGAAAUCCUGGAGCUCAACUCCAGAACUGCCUUUGAUACUGAGGAUCUUGAGUUCGGGAGAGGUGAGUGGAACUGCGAGUGUAGAGGUGAAAUUCGUAGAUAUUCGCAAGAACACCAGUGGCGAAGGCGGCUCACUGGCCCGAUACUGACGCUGAGGCACGAAAGCGUGGGGAGCAAACAGGAUUAGAUACCCUGGUAGUCCACGCCGUUAACGAUGAAUGCCAGCCGUUAGUGGGUUUANNNAUAGUGGCGCGUAACGNUUAAGCAUUCCGCCUGGGGAGUNCGGUNGAAGAAUUCAAACUCAAAGGAAUUGACGG